AUUGAACGCUGGCGGCAGGCCUAACACAUGCAAGUCGAGCGGAUGCAGGGAGCUUGCUCCUGGAUUCAGCUGCGGACGGGUGAGUAAUGCCUAGGAAUCUGCCUGUUAGUGGGGGAUAACGUCCGGAAGCGGGCGCUAAUACCCCAUACGUCCUGAGGGCGAACGUGGGGGAUCUUCGGACCUCACGCUAUCAGAUGAGCCUAGGUCGGAUUAGCUAGUUGGGGUGGUAACGGCCUACCAAGGCGACGAUCCGUAACUGGUCUGAGAGGAUGAUCAGUCACACUGGAACUGAGACACGGUCCAGACUCCUACGGGAGGCAGCAGUGGGGAAUAUUGGACAAUGGGCGAAAGCCUGAUCCAGCCAUACCGCGUGUGUGAAGAAGGUCUUCGGAUUGUAAAGCACUUUAAGUUGGGAGGAAAAGCAGUAAGUUAAUACCUCGCUGUUUUGACGGUACCAAAAGAAUAAGCACCGGCUAACUUCGUG
RNAcentral lists this ribosomal RNA (484 nucleotides) under uncultured bacterium. RNAcentral describes it as "partial 16S ribosomal RNA". It matches the Rfam family "Bacterial small subunit ribosomal RNA", at positions 30 to 507 of the family's 1533-position model. The record is from RNAcentral.